RNAcentral lists this ribosomal RNA (517 nucleotides) under uncultured Sphingobacteriales bacterium. Its description in RNAcentral is "bacterial SSU rRNA". It matches the Rfam family "Bacterial small subunit ribosomal RNA", at positions 375 to 893 of the family's 1533-position model. The record is from RNAcentral. Lineage: Bacteria; Pseudomonadati; Bacteroidota; Sphingobacteriia; Sphingobacteriales.
GUGCGAGCCUGAUCCAGCCAUGCCGCGUGCAGGAAGACGGCCUUCUGGGUUGUAAACUGCUUUUGCCAGGRRAUAAAAAGUCCCUGCGGSGAAAAUUGAAGGUACCUGGUGAAUAAGCCACGGCUAACUACGUGCCAGCAGCCGCGGUAAUACGUAGGUGGCAAGCGUUGUCCGGAUUUAUUGGGUUUAAAGGGUGCGUAGGCGGUCAURUAAGUCAGUGGUGAAAUCCGGCAGCUCAACUGUCGAUGUGCCAUUGAUACUGCAUGACUUGAGUACAGACGAGGUAGGCGGAAUUGACGGUGUAGCGGUGAAAUGCUUAGAUAUCGUCAAGAACACCGAUAGCGAAGGCAGCUUACUAGACUGUAACUGACGCUGAUGCACGAAAGUGUGGGGAUCAAACAGGAUUAGAUACCCUGGUAGUCCACACUGUAAACGAUGAUUACUCGAUGUUGGCGAUACACAGCCAGCGUCUUAGCGAAAGCGAUAAGUAAUCCACCUGGGGAGUACGCCCGCAAGG